RNAcentral lists this ribosomal RNA (627 nucleotides) under Bacillus subtilis. RNAcentral describes it as "bacterial SSU rRNA". It matches the Rfam family "Bacterial small subunit ribosomal RNA", at positions 555 to 1183 of the family's 1533-position model. The record is from RNAcentral. Lineage: Bacteria; Bacillati; Bacillota; Bacilli; Caryophanales; Bacillaceae.
UGGGCGUAAGGGCUCGCAGGCGGUUUCUUAAGUCUGAUGUGAAAGCCCCCGGCUCAACCGGGGAGGGUCAUUGGAAACUGGGGAACUUGAGUGCAGAAGAGGAGAGUGGAAUUCCACGUGUAGCGGUGAAAUGCGUAGAGAUGUGGAGGAACACCAGUGGCGAAGGCGACUCUCUGGUCUGUAACUGACGCUGAGGAGCGAAAGCGUGGGGAGCGAACAGGAUUAGAUACCCUGGUAGUCCACGCCGUAAACGAUGAGUGCUAAGUGUUAGGGGGUUUCCGCCCCUUAGUGCUGCAGCUAACGCAUUAAGCACUCCGCCUGGGGAGUACGGUCGCAAGACUGAAACUCAAAGGAAUUGACGGGGGCCCGCACAAGCGGUGGAGCAUGUGGUUUAAUUCGAAGCAACGCGAAGAACCUUACCAGGUCUUGACAUCCUCUGACAAUCCUAGAGAUAGGACGUCCCCUUCGGGGGCAGAGUGACAGGUGGUGCAUGGUUGUCGUCAGCUCGUGUCGUGAGAUGUUGGGUUAAGUCCCGCAACGAGCGCAACCCUUGAUCUUAGUUGCCAGCAUUCAGUUGGGCACUCUAAGGUGACUGCCGGUGACAAACCGGAGGAAGGUGGGGAUGAC